RNAcentral lists this long non-coding RNA (938 nucleotides) under Linum usitatissimum (flax). RNAcentral describes it as "long non-coding RNA (LUSI_LNC007983)". Lineage: Eukaryota; Viridiplantae; Streptophyta; Magnoliopsida; Malpighiales; Linaceae. The record is from RNAcentral.
GGUGACGUGGCGGUGAUCCGAGACAGCGAGGAGAAGAUAGGGAAGGUGCUUGACAUCUACGAACGGAGGCUGUCGGAGACCAAGUACCUCGCCGGGGAAAAUUUCACCCUGGCGGAUCUCAGCCACCUUCCGGGGAUGAGGUACCUGACGAACGAGGCUGGGAUGGGUCACUUGGUGGCGGAGCGGAAGAAGGUGAAUGCUUGGUGGGUGGAUAUCUCCGGCCGGCCUGCUUGGAAGAAGCUGAUUUCCAUGGCCGCUGCAGCCGCCGCCGCCGCCGAUGUUUGAGAGUUCGGCAAAUUAUGAUUGUUUAUUGGUUUCUUGUGCGUGUCUGUUGUGCAAAAAUAAGUACAAGUCACCUUCCGGGGAUGAGGUACCUGACGAACGAGGCUGGGAUGGGUCACUUGGUGGCGGAGCGGAAGAAGGUGAAUGCUUGGUGGGUGGAUAUCUCCGGCCGGCCUGCUUGGAAGAAGCUGAUUUCCAUGGCCGCUGCAGCCGCCGCCGCCGCCGAUGUUUGAGAGUUCGGCAAAUUAGGAUUGUUUAUGGGUUUCUUGUGCGUGUAUGUCGAGCAACAAUAAGUCCAGCUUCCAAGUUUGUUUGGGUUCAAAUAAGUGGGCCAACUUGUUUGAUCAUGGUACUUUGCAGCAAAUAGCUUUUAACCAAAGUCCCCCUUUUCGUCCAGCUGCUUCAUCUUUUGUCAUUAGGUGUCAUUAUGAUUAUCAAUCAUGCAUCAUCCAUAUUAAUCUACGUAUAUUCUGUGACAAUAUCUUAUCAUUAAGUUCAUACUCCCACUUGUAUUUAAUUAAUAAUAAUCACUAUUUUAUCUUUAUUUAGAUUUCAGACUUAUCCUGCCCCCUUAUCUUUAAUUAUAAAUAAAUAAAAUGUAUACAAUAUACUAGAUAAUUACCGGCCUGAUGGUCGGAAAGUAUUUUACCAUGACC